AGUCCACAGGCUCACCCCCACCCUUUCUCAGAGAGCUGGUUUCAUAUGGCUGGAUUCUUUUGUCACAGUCUGCAUUUCAUCCUAGGAUUGUCCUGAUUCCCUAAAUGAAUUGUAUUUUUUUGAGACAGGGUCUGGCAGCCUCGAACCCCUGGAGGCUUAGGUGAUCCUCCCACCUCAGCCCCCAAGUAGCUGGGACCACAGGCUCAGCUAAUUUUUACUUUUUUUUGCAGAUAUCAACCUCUCUAUGUUUCCUAGGCUGGUCUCAAACUCCUGGACUCAAGCAAUCCUCCUGCCUUAGCCUCCACAAGUGCUGGGAUUACAGGCAUGAGCAACUGCAUCCGGCUAAACAACCUCUCUUCUUGCAACACUGUUUCCUUGUACCGUUAUCGAUGCUGGGAGAAGAGAAAAGGACAUCAUUUUGCCCUCAGGGAGCUCAUGGUCUAACGGAGAGAGAGACAUGUGAACAACUACAACGUCUGCGGUCUAAGAAAACACUAAAUUGGAGACGUGUUCAAAGCAGUGCAGGGGAGGGAGCGGAGUGAGACUUCCGGGGUCACCCAGAAGGGCUUCCCGGCAGGGAACGCUACACUUCCUUAGAAAUUAAGAGUGUGUGCUACACUGCUUUACCAGAGCAAGGCCAAAAGCAGCUUCAAUUAUGGUACAACUGUGUGAAGACACAAUGCAAAACCACUCAAGAAUGCUCACUCAAAUGGAUUUUUACCAUGGAACUCGGA
This 734-nucleotide long non-coding RNA is filed under the name Homo sapiens (human). Its description in RNAcentral is "novel transcript, antisense to IWS1". Lineage: Eukaryota; Metazoa; Chordata; Mammalia; Primates; Hominidae. The record is from RNAcentral.